GCAAGUCGAGGGGCAGCAUUGGAGUAGCAAUACUUCAGGAUGGCGACCGGCGCACGGGUGAGUAACACGUAUCCAACCUGCCGCUUACUCGGGGAUAGCCUUUCGAAAGAAAGAUUAAUACCCGAUGGUAUAAAGAGUUCGCAUGUUCUCUUUAUUAAAGAAUUUCGGUAAGCGAUGGAGAUGCGUUCCAUUAGAUAGUUGGCGGGGUAACGGCCCACCAAGUCUACGAUGGAUAGGGGUUCUGAGAGGAAGGUCCCCCACAUUGGAACUGAGACACGGUCCAAACUCCUACGGGAGGCAGCAGUGAGGAAUAUUGGUCAAUGGACGAGAGUCUGAACCAGCCAAAGUAGCGUGAAGGAUGACUGCCCUAUGGGUUGUAAACUUCUUUUAUAAGGGAAUAAAGUGAGGGACGUGUCCCUUUUUGUAUGUACCUUAUGAAUAAGGAUCGGCUAACUCCGUGCCAGCCGCGGC
Molecule: ribosomal RNA, 471 nt
Filed under: uncultured bacterium
Lineage: Bacteria
Description: bacterial SSU rRNA
Rfam family: Bacterial small subunit ribosomal RNA
Source: RNAcentral